RNAcentral lists this ribosomal RNA (497 nucleotides) under uncultured bacterium. RNAcentral's name for it is "partial 16S ribosomal RNA". It matches the Rfam family "Bacterial small subunit ribosomal RNA", at positions 28 to 507 of the family's 1533-position model. The record is from RNAcentral.
GAUGAACGCUGGCGGCGUGCCUAAUACAUGCAAGUCGAGCGAACAGACGAGGAGCUUGCUCCUCUGACGUUAGCGGCGGACGGGUGAGUAACACGUGGAUAACCUACCUAUAAGACUGGGAUAACUUCGGGAAACCGGAGCUAAUACCGGAUAAUAUAUUGAACCGCCUGGUUCAAUAGUGAAAGACGGUUUUGCUGUCACUUAUAGAUGGAUCCACGCCGCAUUAGCUAGUUGGUAAGGUAACGGCUUACCAAGGCAACGAUGCGUAGCCCACCUGUGAGGGUGAUCCGCCACACUGGAACUGAGACACGGUCCAGACUCCUACGGGAGGCAGCAGUAGGGAAUCUUCCGCAAUGGGCGAAAGCCUGACGGAGCAACGCCGCGUGAGUGAUGAAGGUCUUCGGAUCGUAAAACUCUGUUAUUAGGGAAGAACAAAUGUGUAAGUAACUAUGCACGUCUUGACGGUACCUAAUCAGAAAGCCACGGCUAACUACGUG